RNAcentral lists this long non-coding RNA (348 nucleotides) under Lynx pardinus (Iberian lynx). Lineage: Eukaryota; Metazoa; Chordata; Mammalia; Carnivora; Felidae. The record is from RNAcentral.
GAAUCUGCCUCCUGCUUUCCUUUCCAUCCACCACCUUCCCAACCAAGAAGGGCAUUCAUAACUUUGCUGGAGAGACUAAUGUUUCUAGAACACCCUGAAACAAAAGUCCCCAUACAUGCAAAUAAUACACACCCAGAAAAGAAAACAGCCUCUUUGCAUCGACACCCUCUCUGUCUCUUCUGAAAGGAGGCUUUCUCCCUACGUGGGAUUUCCAUCCGCAGUGAGACUGGUCCCCAACUCGGGGACACAGCAGACACUCUCUCGCUCUGUGUGUAUUUCCGGGAGCAGCCAAUCAACAAAGACCUAAAGGUGUGGAUUUACACAGCCCCACAUGCUAAAAAAAAAAAA